This 406-nucleotide ribosomal RNA is filed under the name uncultured bacterium. RNAcentral describes it as "partial 16S ribosomal RNA". It matches the Rfam family "Bacterial small subunit ribosomal RNA", at positions 30 to 526 of the family's 1533-position model. The record is from RNAcentral.
AUUGAACGCUGGCGGCAGGCUUAACACAUGCAAGUCGAGCGAGUGGCGGACGGGUGAGUAAAGUCUGGGAAACUGCCCGAUGGAGGGGGAUAACUACUGGAAACGGUAGCUAAUACCGCAUACCAUCCGAUCUGCCCAGAUGGGAUUCGCUAGUAGGUGGGGUAAAGGCUCACCUAGGCUACUAUCCCUAGCUGGUCUGAGAGGGUGACCAGUCACACUGGAACUUAGACACGGUCCAUACUCCUACGGUAGGCAGCAGUAGGGAAUCUUCCGCAAUGGGCGCAAGCCUGAUGGAGCAACGCCGCGUGUGUGACGAAGGUCUUCGGAUCGUAAAACACUAUUAGCAAGGAAGCGGUACUUACAGAGAAAGCACCGGCUAACUACGUGUCAGCAGCCGCGGUAAUAC